CCCUAGCCCAGAUAGUAGCGGCAUCCUCUUGUAGUCUCGUUUUUAACGAGACUACAAGAGAUAUAGCGGAUAGCUGGAAAUAGC
Molecule: small RNA, 84 nt
Filed under: Flavobacterium fryxellicola
Lineage: Bacteria; Pseudomonadati; Bacteroidota; Flavobacteriia; Flavobacteriales; Flavobacteriaceae
Description: Flavo-1 RNA
Rfam family: Flavo-1 RNA
Source: RNAcentral